RNAcentral lists this ribosomal RNA (112 nucleotides) under Rhododendron griersonianum. The record is from RNAcentral. Lineage: Eukaryota; Viridiplantae; Streptophyta; Magnoliopsida; Ericales; Ericaceae.
UGCGAUCAUACCAGUACUAAUGCACCGGAUCCCAUCAGAACUCCGCAGUUAAGCAUGCUUGGGCAAGAGUAGUACUAAGAUGGGUGACCCCCUGGGAAGUCCUCGUGUCGCA